AUAUCCUUAGACUUCCACAGCAAAAAAAGGGAGUGAGAAGUAAGGAAGUAACAAAGUUGUUCAUGAUCCUGGAAAUGAAAUAGAGCUGAAAGUCCAUAAAGGAAUCAAGAAGUAAAAAUAAAUGUGAGGCUACCUGCAUAAAAGCUUGAGAAGCAGUGAUUCAGGCAACACCUUGAAUGUGUCCCCCAGAAACUGGGAGUUAAAAGGAUUUUGGGAAGUUCUCACUACCCAACAGGUAGUGAGACCCAGAGGAGCAUCUCAUCUGCAUGGAAAAGCCUUCCUCCUUCAUGGCUGUUUAAGCUGACAUGAAGGAGACAAGACAAGCCUCACAGAGACAAAGCUGAACUGUCAAAAUGCCUGAGGGCAGGAGGGCUCCUCAGUAUUAAGCCUGUGCUUCUCAGA
This 402-nucleotide long non-coding RNA is filed under the name Cyanistes caeruleus (blue tit). RNAcentral describes it as "lncRNA (ENSCCEG00000023787.1)". The record is from RNAcentral. Lineage: Eukaryota; Metazoa; Chordata; Aves; Passeriformes; Paridae.